CGAGCGCAACCCUCGUCGUGUGUUAUACGUGUCACACGAUACUGACCGGUAUCAAGCCGGAGGAAGUGGGGAUGAUGUCAAGUCAGCAUGGCCUUUAUAUCCUGGGCUACACACACGCUACAAUGGCAGAUACAAUAGGUUGCGAAACCGCGAGGUGGAGCCAAUCCUCAAAGUCUGUCUCAGUUCAGAUUGUAGGCUGCAACUCGCCUGCAUGAAGUUGGAGUUGCUAGUAAACGCAGGUCAGCUACACUGCGUUGAAUACGUUCCCGGGUUU
RNAcentral lists this ribosomal RNA (274 nucleotides) under uncultured Leptolinea sp. RNAcentral's name for it is "partial 16S ribosomal RNA". It matches the Rfam family "Bacterial small subunit ribosomal RNA", at positions 1093 to 1381 of the family's 1533-position model. Lineage: Bacteria; Bacillati; Chloroflexota; Anaerolineae; Anaerolineales; Anaerolineaceae. The record is from RNAcentral.